Metopolophium dirhodum (rose-grain aphid) is the source of this 906-nucleotide long non-coding RNA. RefSeq lists it as uncharacterized. The transcript is spliced from 3 exons. Lineage: Eukaryota; Metazoa; Arthropoda; Insecta; Hemiptera; Aphididae. The record is from RefSeq and is a predicted model, not a curated record.
AAUCGUGAACAUUAUGUAACUUUUUUUUUGCGAUGCUGCUAGUAAGAGUAAGCUACCACCCUACGAGGGGUCGGCUUGUUUACCAUUCCCUAUUUCAAGUAUGCCACGCCCUCCUGGAGACCACAAUCGCCCGAUUAAUCCAAAUCACGGAAUUUCAUACCUCUGCUACUUGGCUACUUCGAGGGCCCGGCCCGGCCUAGAGUCCCACAAGGUGGGCAGUGACUAGGGUAUACGAUAUACCUAUUCAUAAUUUGUCCUAAGAUAGUUACAUUCAUGAUCAUAAUAUUAUAAUUUAUAGGUUAUAGGUACUAUAAUUUGUUUAUAUUAGUUUUCGAUUGGUAUAAAGGACGGACUAAGAUAUACUAAGAUGUACUACUUAUAUCUUAGUCACGGACAUACAUUAUGUUUGCAGACAAAGUCAGUAUUUAUUAUUUGGUUGUUUUCUAACAAAAAGUUGCUUGUUGUUACACUUUUUAGUGUUGGAAAAAUGUUAGUGAUAUACUUUACACCAUUGAAGAAUGCAUUUCAGACAGAAGCACUUACUCUAUAUGAUAUUAUUUUACUUUUAUUUGGAUUAACAUCAAGAUUCUCUGAGCUACAUUUACAAAAAAGGCUAACUAGUAAAAACUAGGAAAAAAUGGCAUUUGUGUAAUGAUAUUGAAAUUAUACUACUCUUGGUUACAUUGUGAAUGGUAUACAAGCUGCCAAAAUGUUGGAGUAAUUUGUUCCAAUAUCAAUGUUUAGUAUGAAAGUAGCCAUUUCAUAUAUAGAUUUUUUUUUUUACUGACUACCUUGCGACUUUAAAUCUUAAUACAGAAUAAAAAAUUAAAAUCGUGAAAAUUAUAAACCUGGCUGCCCAGGUGAAUGUUGCGGCAAUGGUUGUGUAAUUGCAUAUUUUAGGUCAUU